This 541-nucleotide ribosomal RNA is filed under the name uncultured bacterium. RNAcentral describes it as "partial 16S ribosomal RNA". It matches the Rfam family "Bacterial small subunit ribosomal RNA", at positions 355 to 883 of the family's 1533-position model. The record is from RNAcentral.
UAGGGAAUCUUCCACAAUGGACGCAAGUCUGAUGGAGCAACGCCGCGUGAGUGAAGAAGGUUUUCGGAUCGUAAAGCUCUGUUGUUGGUGAAGAAGGAUAGAGGCAGUAACUGGUCUUUAUUUGACGGUAAUCAACCAGAAAGUCACGGCUAACUACGUGCCAGCAGCCGCGGUAAUACGUAGGUGGCAAGCGUUGUCCGGAUUUAUUGGGCGUAAAGCGAGCGCAGGCGGAAUGAUAAGUCUGAUGUGAAAGCCCACGGCUCAACCGUGGAACUGCAUCGGAAACUGUCAUUCUUGAGUGCAGAAGAGGAGAGUGGAACUCCAUGUGUAGCGGUGGAAUGCGUAGAUAUAUGGAAGAACACCAGUGGCGAAGGCGGCUCUCUGGUCUGCAAACUGACGCUGAGGCUCGAAAGCAUGGGUAGCGAACAGGAUUAGAUACCCUGGUAGUCCAUGCCGUAAAACGAUGAGCGCUAGGUGUUGGGGACUUUCCGGUCCUCAGUGCCGCAGCAAAACGCAUUAAGCGCUCCGCCUGGGGGAGUAC